Molecule: unclassified non-coding RNA, 25 nt
Filed under: Mus musculus (house mouse)
Lineage: Eukaryota; Metazoa; Chordata; Mammalia; Rodentia; Muridae
Description: oocyte_clustered_small_RNA11647
Source: RNAcentral
UGAUGACUGAUCUCAAACACUAAGG